This 1460-nucleotide long non-coding RNA is filed under the name Felis catus (domestic cat). RNAcentral describes it as "lncRNA (ENSFCAG00000049476.1)". The record is from RNAcentral. Lineage: Eukaryota; Metazoa; Chordata; Mammalia; Carnivora; Felidae.
AUGUUGGACUUCCUCUCUUCCCAGAGGAAUCCCCUUUAUAGCUCUCGAGGCCUGACCCCAGCGUCCCCGCGAAUGUCGUCUGACUGCUGCAUGGAGUGCAGCCGCAGCUCCUGUGCCGGGUGCCAGCUGGACGUGCUUGGCGGCUGGGGCCCUGGGAGCCACCUCUCGGGAUGUCAGAGGGGAGCUGCAGCCGCCCUUCCGUCAGCAGGAAGCCCAGCCACAAACACUUGGACAGGAAGCGCAGGCGCUGGCCAGCUGAGCGAGCUCUGGUUUCUCCCGUGUCUGAGGGCCUGGCCCAGUGUAGAGGAAGACCAGCCAGGUGCUGCGGCCUGCACUGACAGGGCUGGGAUGUGGGCUCUGGGCGUGAGCGGAAAAGCACCGCUGAGGCUGGACCAGAGGAGGAGCUUCCUGGAGGAGGGUGAGGGAGCAGGGAACACGGCGUCUAGCAGACCUCGGCCAGCUGGCUGGGGACACGCAAAGACCCCUUUGUGAUGGUUCCAGACAAAAUGUGUUCGCUUGGGCCCAGACCUCCGGCAUAAGCCCAGGCCGGCUCCAACCUCCAGGCGGCCUCCGCCUCUGUGAAAACACACUGUAGUCCCCUGGGGUGGGAUGUCCACACGUUCCCAGCUUGAAGAAUGACUCCUCUCAGGGGAAGCCUCUUUCGUAACCUACCGGGUUGUAUUGUGAGUGAAUUAAUACAAAAUAGAGCGUGCUGAGCUGGGGACAAAGGCAAUUUUGCAUUCCGGUCGACGUUGUUGCUUCUAAGUGCUACGUGUGAUUAUCCUCAGGGCAGUCUGUGUGUGCAGACCAUGUGUGUGCCCCAAGGACCCCCAGGAUUUACAGAGCGCUUCAAAUUUUCACAAGUCGCUCGGGUAUUUUUCCCCCCACUUUUGCUUCUCACGACCUGAUACGUCAGUAAGAGAUGCCCGGUAUCUGGGGACCAGGAGGUAGGCAGAUUGGCUCAAGGUCACACGGCUCAGUCAUGGCAGAUCCAGGGCCACCGCCAUGACUUGUCUUGCUCUAAAAAGAUAACUUAGAUGAUUAUUACUUUCCAAGGGCCCGAACCUCUCCUACCUUACCCUGGACUGCGUGCUUUCAAGCUCCCGCCCUCGGAGUCUGUAGCUAAUAGCCCGUUGUUUGAAGCACAUUUUGAAAACCUUCUGGGUGAAUCCUGCCUGUGGCUUUAUUCCCUCCCCCUGCCAUGCCCACAGGUUUUUAUUAGUGGCAUUUCAAUAAUCUAGAUUUUAUCAUAGCCUAUGACCUCUAUGGUUCUGACUCUAGACCAAGGGUUAGCAACUUUUUCUGUAAAGGGAUAGACGGUAAAUAUUUUAAGUUACGGGCCACUUGGUCUCUGUAGCAAUUGCCCAACUCUGCCAUUGUGGUGCAAAAGUAGCCAUAGACAGUGUGUAAACAAAUGGCGUGGCUGUGUUCCAAUAAAGCUUUAUUCACAAAAACCGGCA